CUAACCACGCAGUGAUCUACCUAACCUAACUUAACCUUACCUGAGCUCACCAUGCGGUGAUUGUUGUUUUCCUCCUACAUUAUCGAUGAGAGGAGCGACCACGGUUACCAAUCGUUGAAAUUCCCCAGAACCAGAGUUGGUACUUCUUCUCAGCCUUUAUAUCAGCAGCCAGUCGAGGACGCAAGAGACUCACUGCAGGUGGAAUAGAAACGAUUACUCAAUGAAGGUACGAGGUGUGGUUAUUAAAUAACCGGUCUGAAGUCAUAAGACUUUUUAUUCAUCAUCAAUUACAGCAGAGGUUUUUUCGCCUUCAAUGUACUCCCCUUGGCGAUCCCUACACCGCUCCAUACGACGUUUUCAUUGUUGAAAGCAGUACUGGAAGUCCUCUUCUGUCAGCCGAUUAAGAACCUCCGUCGCUUUUGCUUUAACCUUUUCCACAAUUCCAAAUCUUGUCCCCAUUAGCGCCGACUUGACCUUAGGAAAUAGAAGAAAGUCACAGGGGGCAAAGUCGGGCGAGUACGGUGGAUGUUCCAACACGGUGAUGCCGUAUUUUGCGAGGAACGCUUUCACAGACAAGGCAGAAUGGGCUGGUGCAUUGUCUUGGUGAAGGAUCCAGGACUUAGUCUUCCGCAAAUCGGGUCGUCUUCUUACACGCUCACGUAGGGCCGUCAAAAUCUCAAUGUGGAACCGUACUUGCCCGACCUUGCCCCCUGUGACUUUUUUCUAUUUCCCAAGGUCAAGUCGGCGCUGAAGGGGACAAGAUUUGGAAGUGUGGAAGCGGUUAAAGUAAAAGCGACGGAAGUUCUUAAGCGGCUGACAGAAGAGGACUUCCAGCACUGCUUUCAACAAUGAAAACGUCGUAUGGAGCGGUGUAGGGAUCGCCAAUGGGAGUACAUUGAAGGCGAAAAAACCUCUGCUGUAAUUGGUGAUGAAUAAAAAGUGUUAUGACUUCAGUCCGGUUAUUUAAUAGCCACACCUCGUAUGUAAUAGAAGCAACAACCAGCUCCAGCCGUAUGGAACCAGUAUAUGUCGAAUUUGAUGUUGGUGGAUGGCGAUAUGUUAAAAUGUUCUGCAUUCAAUUUGAUGUUCAAUCAGAUUCAAUAAGAUUGUUGAACAAACUUCUUUUAUAUCACCGUGACAUGAGAACCGACUAUUACAGGACAAGGGAAUACAGAUGCUAUGUGAAACCUGAGGGUUUAGCAAUCUCGCAUUUACUCUUGUUCAUCAGCGGAUUUCAUUCCAACUCCGUAGAUCACUGCAGUUUUCUGGUAGUGUCAGUUGUACGGAUACGUUUCCAAAACUGCCACAGUUUUUCGUCAGGAUCAACUCCAGGCGUGAGCUCUGCGUCGAUGUUCAAGUAAUUCUUGGUGGUUGUUGAUAUUGGUUUCCAGUUUUCUGUGAUUAAUUCGUCAAUUUGUGGCGUCGGAUUUCUGUAUCAAUAAGCAGUUAGAGAAUCACAGAUGGAUAGUGAAUGAAGAACUACUUUACUAACUACUGGUGACACUUAUAAAUGGAUUUCGUAUUUACCCAGUCUUUGCAAAAUCUGUCCACAACCUGAGGAAUCUCUCGGAGAUGAUUUGUUCAACUGAACCUGGUUUGAUAAAAGGAACGUCACGGAACGCUUCGGGGCGGAAGAUGUACGCCAACUCGUCCAUGUGUCCAGCACCUGAAGAAACAUUGCUCAACAAAUGCUUGCUCAGUUUCUCCGGUGAGUCGUGAGAGAAACGAUAAAAAUAUGUUGGAGACUUUGCCUUGGCUUGAAUUAUCGCUGCUUCAUGGAUACCGAGGACGAAGCAAAUGUCACCCAGAAAUUGAACGUAAC
Molecule: long non-coding RNA, 1822 nt
Filed under: Neodiprion pinetum (white pine sawfly)
Lineage: Eukaryota; Metazoa; Arthropoda; Insecta; Hymenoptera; Diprionidae
Description: uncharacterized LOC124223650, transcript variant X2
Source: RNAcentral